Molecule: ribosomal RNA, 253 nt
Filed under: uncultured bacterium
Lineage: Bacteria
Description: partial 16S ribosomal RNA
Rfam family: Bacterial small subunit ribosomal RNA
Source: RNAcentral
UACGUAGGGCGCAAGCGUUGUCCGGAUUUAUUGGGCGUAAAGAGCGUGUAGGCGGCCGUACAGGUCAGCUGUGAAAACUCGAGGCUCAACCUCGAGACGUCGGUUGAAACCGUUUGGCUAGAGUCCGGAAGAGGAGAGUGGAAUUCCGCGUGUAGCAGUGAAAUGCGUAGAUAUGCGGAGGAACACCGAUGGCGAAGGCAAUCCCCUGGGCCUGCACUGACGCUCAUGCACGAAAGCGUGGGGAGCAAACAGG